RNAcentral lists this ribosomal RNA (501 nucleotides) under uncultured bacterium. RNAcentral describes it as "partial 16S ribosomal RNA". It matches the Rfam family "Bacterial small subunit ribosomal RNA", at positions 30 to 523 of the family's 1533-position model. The record is from RNAcentral.
AUUGAACGCUGGCGGCAGGCUUAACACAUGCAAGUCGAGCGGGGGAAGGUAGCUUGCUACCGGACCUAGCGGCGGACGGGUGAGUAAUGCUUAGGAAUCUGCCUAUUAGUGGGGGACAACAUCUCGAAAGGGAUGCUAAUACCGCAUACGUCCUACGGGAGAAAGCAGGGGAUCUUCGGACCUUGCGCUAAUAGAUGAGCCUAAGUCGGAUUAGCUAGUUGGUGGGGUAAAGGCCUACCAAGGCGACGAUCUGUAGCGGGUCUGAGAGGAUGAUCCGCCACACGGGGACUGCGACACGGCCCAGACUCCUACGGGAGGCAGCAGUGGGGAAUAUUGGACAAUGGGGGGAACCCUGAUCCAGCCAUGCCGCGUGUGUGAAGAAGGCCUUAUGGUUGUAAAGCACUUUAAGCGAGGAGGAGGCUACUUUAGUUAAUACCUAGAGAUAGUGGACGUUACUCGCAGAAUAAGCACCGGCUAACUCUGUGCCAGCCGCCGCCGUAA